UAAAAACCAGAAGGUCAGAAGGAUCGUGA
RNAcentral lists this non-coding RNA (29 nucleotides) under Mus musculus (house mouse). The record is from RNAcentral. Lineage: Eukaryota; Metazoa; Chordata; Mammalia; Rodentia; Muridae.